GACAAGACUACCCGCUGAACUUAAGCAUAUCAAUAAGCGGAGGAAAAGAAACUAACCAGGAUUCCCCUAGUAACGGCGAGUGAAGCGGGAAGAGCUCAAGCUUAAAAUCUCUAUGCAAGUUUUGCAUGGCGAAUUGUAGUCUAUAGAGGCGCUGUCAGUGCAGCUAUUUGGGAUAAGUUCCUUGGAAGAGGACAGCAUCGAGGGUGAUACUCCCGUUUGUGCCUGAGUAGCUUGUGCGUACGACACGUUUUCUUUGAGUCGCGUUGUUUGGGACUGCAGCGCAAAGUAGGUGGUAAAUUCCAUCUAAAGCUAAAUAUUGGUGCGAGACCGAUAGCGAACAAGUACCGUGAGGGAAAGAUGAAAAGAACUUUGAAAAGAGAGUUAAAGAGUACCUGAAACUGCUGAAAGGGAAGCGAAUCGUAUCCAGUGUCUAUAAUCUGUAGCAUAUUUCAUUGGCGAGUAGGUGCGUGCAGUAUGUAAGAAGUGGUUUUCUGCUCUUUGUGCUGUUCUGCGUUUGCUUGUUGGUGCCCUGUGUUGCGGUGGGACGUCAGAGUCAGUUCGUAUGCUGUGAGAAAUGGCUACUGAGGAGGUAGGUUAGGAGCUUGCUCUUGGCUGUUAUAUCUUGGUAGUUAGUUGUCGUGGUUGGGACUGAGGUGCCUACAAUGUGCUUUAAAGUGUUUGGGACUCUCGUUUGGUUACCUGUUUGGAUAGCUUGCUAUGCUGACGGAGUGAUUGGUCGAUUGAGAUCUAGAGUAACUUUUGCCGUUCGGGACUUUGACGAAAUGGAGCGAUUCGGCCCGUCUUGAAACACGGACCAAGGAGUCUAACAUGUGUGCAAGUGUUAGGGUGUGGAAACCCCAGCGCGAAAUGAAAGUAAAGGAUGGCGUACGCUGUCUGAGGUAGGAAACCUUUCUUCUGAGAGGUGGCACUAUCGACCGAUCAUGAACCCUCGUGGUGAAAGAUUUGAGUUUGAGCACAUAUGUUGGUACCCGAAAGAUGGUGAACUAUGCCUGAGUAGGGUGAAGCCAGGGGAAACUCUGGUGGAAGCUCGUAGCGAUUCUGACGUGCAAAUCGAUCGUCAAACUUGGGUAUAGGGGCGAAAGACUAAUCGAACCAUCUAGUAGCUGGUU
This 1130-nucleotide ribosomal RNA is filed under the name Globisporangium ultimum. Its description in RNAcentral is "partial large subunit ribosomal RNA". It matches the Rfam family "Eukaryotic large subunit ribosomal RNA", at positions 14 to 956 of the family's 3401-position model. Lineage: Eukaryota; Oomycota; Peronosporomycetes; Pythiales; Pythiaceae. The record is from RNAcentral.